UCGGGAAUUUUGGGCAAUGGGCGAAAGCCUGACCCAGCAACGCCGCGUGAAGGAUGAAAUCCUUCGGGAUGUAAACUUCGCAAGAACGGGAAGAAUAAGUGAGAGCUAACAUCUCUUACGAUGACGGUACUGUUUGUAAGCUCCGGCUAACUCCGUGCCAGCAGCCGCGGUAAUACGGGGGGAGCAAGCGUUGUUCGGAAUUACUGGGCGUAAAGGGCGCGUAGGCGGUGCUCUAAGUCAGGCGUGAAAGCCCUGGGCUCAACCCGGGAACUGCGCUUGAUACUGGGGCGCUUGAAUCCAGGAGAGGUUGGUGGAAUUCCCAGUGUAGAGGUGAAAUUCGUAGAGAUUGGGAAGAACACCGGUGGCGAAGGCGGCCAACUGGACUGGUAUUGACGCUGAGGCGCGAAAGCGUGGGGAGCAAAC
RNAcentral lists this ribosomal RNA (423 nucleotides) under uncultured bacterium. Its description in RNAcentral is "bacterial SSU rRNA". It matches the Rfam family "Bacterial small subunit ribosomal RNA", at positions 355 to 773 of the family's 1533-position model. The record is from RNAcentral.